Molecule: long non-coding RNA, 278 nt
Organism: Pseudopipra pipra
Lineage: Eukaryota; Metazoa; Chordata; Aves; Passeriformes; Pipridae
Exons: 3
Source: RefSeq, a predicted model, not a curated record
CAGGUCCAGAGAGGGCAGUGAGCUCUGAGCACGACGUGGAAGGAGUGAGUGGACAGUGGCUGCCCCUCAUUGCAGUGUAAUCAGGAGGACCUACAAAAGAGUAAUCUUAACAAGCAACCAACAUCAUGGAGGCAUUUGAACUCACAUCUCUGUUGCUGUUAACAGGGGAAACAGCAAUCUGGUGACUUGUUGGCAAAUCAGAUAACUUGUGUGGUGAUUCUCACUGAUCUUCAACCAUCAGAGGACUCUGCCAUUGGUUUCUCACCGUAAGUUGUGGC